GAGGAACAAAUAAGAGCAUUACUAAACCAGGUAAUGCCAAUGCAAGAGCCCAUUCGCCCCAUGUCAUAGAAAGGCCUGUAAUUUUAGUUACGAAAUCUAAGGCUAAUACAUUCGGAGCCAUGGCUGUAAGAAACAUAAAAGAUGUUACUUUUGUGAUGAAAUAACCAUUCAUCAAAAUAAAGGAACCACCACGCUUAGCAGUAUCACCAGGAUAGGACCCAAUAGAUUCUGCAAUAGACAAGUUA
RNAcentral lists this non-coding RNA (245 nucleotides) under Veillonella caviae. Lineage: Bacteria; Bacillati; Bacillota; Negativicutes; Veillonellales; Veillonellaceae. The record is from RNAcentral.